Vicia villosa (hairy vetch) is the source of this 78-nucleotide small nucleolar RNA. RefSeq annotates it as small nucleolar RNA R160. The transcript has a single exon. The record is from RefSeq and is a predicted model, not a curated record. NCBI's taxonomy places the organism in Eukaryota, Viridiplantae, Streptophyta, Magnoliopsida, Fabales, Fabaceae.
AGCAAAAUGAUGAAGUUUUGAUAUCUGAACUUGAUGUUGAUUUCUAAUGUAAUUGGUCUUCAAAGUUCUCUGAUUGCU